Molecule: non-coding RNA, 1599 nt
Organism: Xyrichtys novacula (pearly razorfish)
Lineage: Eukaryota; Metazoa; Chordata; Actinopteri; Labriformes; Labridae
Source: the annotation of a GenBank genome assembly
AUAUAUUUUUUUUCUUUUUUUUUUUUUUUGGUCUAACUAACUCAAAUAUGUUGGAAAAAAGUUCCUAAAAAGGUUUUGGACAGUGAUUUUAACCCUAACGCCAAAAGCCUAAACCUUACCCUAGCCCCAUAACCUAAUACCCGGGUAUUACCUUCAGGAAGCCCGAAAAUCCCAAAUAUAUAUAUAUAUAUUUUUUUUCUAUUUUUUUUAGUCAAACUAACUCCAAAAGGUUGGAAAAGAGUUCCUACAAAGGUUUUGGACAGUGAUUUUAACCCUAACGCCAAAAACCUUAAACCUUACCCUAGCCCCAAAACCUAAUACCCGGGUAUUACCUUCAGGAAGCCCGAAAACCCCAAAUAUAUUUUUUUUUUUUUUUUUUUUUUUUUGUCGAACUAACUCCAAAAGGUUGGAAAAGAGUUCCUACAAAGGUUUUGGACAGUGAUUUUAACCCUAACGCCAAAAACCUUAAACCUUACCCUAGCCCCAUAACCUAAUACCCAGGUAUUACCUUCAGGAAGCCCGAAAACCCCAAAUAUUUUUUUUUCAUUUUCAUUUUUUUUUUGGUCUAACUCCAAAAGGUUUGAAUAGAGUUCCUAAAAAGGUUUUGGACAGUGAUUUUGACCCUAACGCCAAAAACCUUAAACCUUACCCUAGCCCCAAAACCUGAUCCUGGGUACUACCUUCAGGAAGCCCGAAAACCCCAAAUAUAUUUUUUUCUUUUUUCUUUUUUUUUGGUCUAACUAACUCCAAAAGGUUGGAAAAGAGUUCCUACAAAGGUUUUGGACAGUGAUUUUAACCCUAACGCCAAAAGCCUUAAACCUUACCCUAGCCCCAUAACCUAAUACCCGGGUAUUACCUUCAGGAAGCCCGAACACCCCAAAUAUUUUUUUUUCAUGUUUCAUUUGUUUUUUUGUCGAACUAACUCCAAAAGGUUGGAAAAGAGUUCCUACAAAGGUUUUGGACAGUGAUUUUAACCCUAAUGCCAAAAACCUUAAACCUUUCCCUAGCCCCAAAACCUAAUCCUGGGUAUUACCUUCAGGAAGCCCGAAAACCCCAAAUAUAUUCUUUUCUUUUUUCUUUUUUUUUGGUCCAACUAACUCCAAAAGGUUGGAAAAGAGUUCCUAUAAAGGUUUUGGACAGUGAUUUUAACCCUAACGCCAAAAACCUUUAACCUUUCCAAAGCCCCAUAACCUAAUACCCGGGUAUUACCUUCAGGAAGCCCGAAAACCCCAAAUAUAUAUAUAUUUUUUUUUUUCUAUUUUUUUUAGUCGAACUAACUCCAAAAGGUUGGAAAAGAGUUCCUACAAAGGUUUUGGACACUGAUUUUAACCCUAACGCCAAAAACCUUUAACCUUUCCAAAGCCCCAUAACCUAAUACCCGGGUAUUACCUUCAGGAAGCCCAAAACCCACAAAUAUAUAUAUAUAUAUUUUUUUUUCUCUAUUUUUUUAAGUCGAACUAACUCCAAAAGGUUGGAAAAGAGUUCCUACAAAGGUUUUGGACAGUGAUUUUAACCCUAAUGCCAAAAAACUUAAACCUUACCCUAGUCCCAAAACCUAAUACCUGGGUAUUACCUUCAGGAAGCCCGAAAACCCCAAAU